GCCUUUACUGACGCUAAAGCUCGAAGGUGCGGGUAUCGAACAGGAUUAGAUACCCUGGUAGUCCGCACGGUAAACGAUGGAUGCCCGCUGUUUGCGAUAUACUGUGAGCGGCCAAGAGAAAUCGUUAAGCAUCCCACCUGGGGAGUACGCCGGCAACGGUGAAACUCAAAGGAAUUGACGGGGGCCCGCACAAGCGGAGGAACAUGUGGUUUAAUUCGAUGAUACGCGAGGAACCUUACCCGGGCUUGAACUGCAGGAGAACGAUUCAGAGAUGAUGAGGUCCUUCGGGACUCCUGUGGAGGUGCUGCAUGGUUGUCGUCAGCUCGUGCCGUGAGGUGUCGGCUUAAGUGCCAUAACGAGCGCAACCCCUUUCGUUAGUUGCCAUCAGGUGAUGCUGGGCACUCUGGCGAUACUGCCACCGUAAGGUGUGAGGAAGGUGGGGAUGACGUCAAAUCAGCACGGCCCUUACGUCCGGGGCUACACACGUGUUACAAUGGGUGGUACAGAGAGCCGGUCGUCUGCAAAUGCGAUCAAAUCCUAAAAGCCAUCCUCAGUUCGGAUUGGGGUCUGCAACCCGACCCCAUGAAGCUGGAUUCGCUAG
This 601-nucleotide ribosomal RNA is filed under the name uncultured bacterium. RNAcentral describes it as "bacterial SSU rRNA". It matches the Rfam family "Bacterial small subunit ribosomal RNA", at positions 733 to 1338 of the family's 1533-position model. The record is from RNAcentral.